GCCAGACUCCUACGGGAGGCAGCAGUGGGGGAUAUUGCACAAUGGGGGAAACCCUGAUGCAGCGACGCCGCGUGUGGGAAGACGGUCUUCUGGAUUGUAAACCACUGUCCCCAGGGACGAAAAUGACGGUACCUGGGGAGGAAGCUCCGGCUAACUACGUGCCAGCAGCCGCGAUAAUACGUAGGGAGCAAGCGUUGUCCGGAAUUACUGGGUGUAAAGGGAGCGUAGGCGGGCGAGAAAGUUGAAUGUUAAAUCUACCGGCUUAACUGGUAGCUGCGUUCAAAACUUCUUGUCUUGAGUGAAGUAGAGGCAGGCGGAAUUCCUAGUGUAGCGGUGAAAUGCGUAGAUAUUCGGAGGAACACCGGUGGCGAAGGCGGCCAACUGGGCUUUAACUGACGCUGAGGCUCGAAAGUGUGGGGAGCAAACAGGAUUAGAUACCCGUGUA
Molecule: ribosomal RNA, 445 nt
Filed under: uncultured bacterium
Lineage: Bacteria
Description: bacterial SSU rRNA
Rfam family: Bacterial small subunit ribosomal RNA
Source: RNAcentral